This is a long non-coding RNA of Erinaceus europaeus (western European hedgehog), 724 nucleotides long. RefSeq lists it as uncharacterized. Lineage: Eukaryota; Metazoa; Chordata; Mammalia; Eulipotyphla; Erinaceidae. The record is from RefSeq and is a predicted model, not a curated record. The transcript is spliced from 3 exons.
GUAAUGGUGUAGAGAGGGAGAGAGAAAGGGAGACACCAGCAACAUUGCUUCACCACUCCAAAAGCUUCUGCACUUGGCACCUCACCCUCCAACCACCUUCCCAGAAGGGCCCCCUGGCACCCCUCACCCACCAACUGCCAUUGGGGCUGAGGGUUCUAACUGCCUUGGUGUGUGGAGCAGGGUGCUGCUGGGAGUUCCAGCACUGCCUGGAGAAGCGAGAGGAAGGAGAGGAGGGUUGGUGUUUCAGGACAAAGUGAAUAUUGGGCCUUAGGAGCCAGACAGAGUUUUAGAUGUCAUGGCAUCCUGUAAAGGUAAAGAAGAGGAAGAUUCACCCUGGGAUUCUCCUUGGGACUCUAAGGAGGAUGUUUGUGAGAACUUCUCACAGAAGGCUGUGAAUCAUUUAUCUGGAAAUGCAGAUAGAGGCAUAAAGAAAAUUAUAAGUGGAGCAGUGAAAGGUAAACAUUAUUACAUUAUUGUUCCAACAAUUUACUUAUUGGUUAUUUGUUAUGUUACCAGGUUGUAUGGUGACAGAGUAUAAUUCUACACCACAGGCACCACCAAUGUUCCCUAUAUCCACCCUCCCAGGAGGGUGAAUUUAACUUUUCAAAAGAGUGAUUUGAGUGAUUUCUUAAUUUCUAAAGAACCUGCGGUUUAUUUUCCUAGUCAGAUAAAAUAACCUAACUACUACAGUGUGAGAAAAAACAAAACUGUGUAUGUAUUUCCU